UGGCUCAGAUUGAACGCUGGCGGGAUGCUUUACACAUGCAAGUCGAACGGCAGCACGGACUUCGGUCUGGUGGCGAGUGGCGAACGGGUGAGUAAUGUAUCGGAACGCCUAGUAGCGGGGGAUGGGAACUACGCGAAAAGCGUAGCUAAUACCGCAUACCGCUCUUCGGGGAAAGUGGGGACCUUCGGGCCUCGCACUAUUAGAGCGGCCGAUAUCGGAUUAGCUAGUUGGUGGGGUAACGGCUCACCAAGCGCGACGAUCCGUAGCUGGUUUGAGAGGACGACCAGCCAAUUGGACUGAGACACGGCCCAGACUCCUACGGAGGCAGCAGUGGGGAAUUUUGGACAAUGGGGAAACUCCUGAUCCAGCCAUCCCGCGUGUGCGAUGAAGGCCUUCGGGUUGUAAAGCACUUUUGGCAGGAAAGAAACGGCACGGGAUAAUACCCCGUGCAACUGACGGUACCUGCAGAAUAAGCGCACUGGCUAACCAUUACGUGCCAGCAGCCGCGGUAAUACGUGAGGGCAAGCGUUAAUCGGAAUUACUGGGCGUAAAGUGUGCGCAGGCGGUUCGGAAAGAAAGAUGUGAAAUCCCAGAGCUUAACUUUGGAACUGCAUUUUUAACUACCGAGCUAGGAAAGUGUGUCAGAGGGAGGUGGAAUUCCGCGUGUAGCAGUGAAAUGCGUAGAUAUGCGGAGGAACACCGAUGGCGAAGGCAGCCUCCUGGGAUAACACUGACGCUCAUGCACGAAAGCGUGGGAGCAAACAGGAUUAGAUACCCUGGUAGUCCACGCCCUAAACGAUGUCAACUAGCUGUUAGCCUUCGGGCCUUGGUAGCGCAGCUAACGCGUGAAGUUGACCGCCUGGGGAGUACGGUCGCAAGAUUAAAACUCAAAGGAAUUGACGGGACCCGCACAAGCGGUGGAUGAUGUGGAUUAAUUCGAUGCAACGCGAAAAACCUUACCUACCCUUGACAUGUCUGGAAUCCCGAAGAGAUUUGGGAGUGCUCGUAAGAGAACCGGAACACAGGUGCUGCAUGGCUGUCAGUCGCUUCCGUGUCGAGAUGUUGGGUUAAGUCCUGCAACGAGCGCAACCUUGUCAUUAGUUGCUACGAAAGGGCACUCUUAAUGAGACUGCCGGUGACAAACCGGAGGAAGGUGAUGACGUCAAGUCCUCAUGGCCCUUAUGGGUAGGGCUUCACACGUCAUACAAUGGUCGGGACAGAGGGUCGCCAACCCGCGAGGGGGAGCCAAUCCCAGAAACCCGAUCGUAGUCCGGAUCGCAGUCUGCAACUCGACUGCGUGAAGUCGGAAUCGCUAGUAAUCGCGGAUCAGCAUGUCGCGGUGAAUACGUUCCCGGGUCUGAAUACACCGCCCGUCACACCAUGGGAGUGGGUUUUACCAGAAGUAGUUAGCCUAACCGUAAGGAGGGCGAUUACCACGGUAGGAUUCAUGACUGGGGUGAAGUCGUAACAAGGUAA
Molecule: ribosomal RNA, 1476 nt
Filed under: uncultured Bordetella sp.
Lineage: Bacteria; Pseudomonadati; Pseudomonadota; Betaproteobacteria; Burkholderiales; Alcaligenaceae
Description: partial 16S-23S ribosomal RNA intergenic spacer
Rfam family: Bacterial small subunit ribosomal RNA
Source: RNAcentral